UGUGUGCCCCUUCCUCGAUGUGCGCAAGCUCGUCUUGGUCUGGGGACCACGUCGACACAGGGGGAUACUCUUGUGAGAGCAUGAGUGUACUAAGUUGAGUGUAGCAAGGGAACGCGUGCCCCUUCCUCGUUGGCGUAACUAACCAUCUUGGUCUGGGGACCGUGGUACCGUGCUCUGGUGAAGCUUGGUGCGUGCUCCUUCCUUGUCAGACGAGUGACUUGACCUGGUCUGGAGACCGUUCCUUUAUACUAGUGGACAAGA
RNAcentral lists this ribosomal RNA (261 nucleotides) under Anopheles arabiensis. RNAcentral describes it as "partial 28S Ribosomal RNA". The record is from RNAcentral. Lineage: Eukaryota; Metazoa; Arthropoda; Insecta; Diptera; Culicidae.